GGAAACAGGUGCUAAUACCGUAUAACACUAUUUUCCGCAUGGAAGAAAGUUGAAAGGCGCUUUUGCGUCACUGAUGGAUGGACCCGCGGUGCAUUAGCUAGUUGGUGAGGUAACGGCUCACCAAGGCCACGAUGCAUAGCCGACCUGAGAGGGUGAUCGGCCACACUGGGACUGAGACACGGCCCAGACUCCUACGGGAGGCAGCAGUAGGGAAUCUUCGGCAAUGGACGAAAGUCUGACUGAGCAACGCCGCGUGAGUGAAGAAGGUUUUCGGAUCGUAAAACUCUGUUGUUAGAGAAGAACAAGGAUGAGAGUAGAACGUUCAUCCCUUGACGGUAUCUAACCAGAAAGCCACGGCUAACUACGUGCCAGCAGCCGCGGUAAUACGUAGGUGGCAAGCGUUGUCCGGAUUUAUUGGGCGUAAAGCGAGCGCAGGCGGUUUCUUAAGUCUGAUGUGAAAGCCCCCGGCUCAACCGGGGAGGGUCAUUGGAAACUGGGAGACUUGAGUGCAGAAGAGGAGAGUGGAAUUCCAUGUGUAGCGGUGAAAUGCGUAGAUAUAUGGAGGAACACCAGUGGCGAAGGCGGCUCUCUGGUCUGUAACUGACGCUGAGGCUCGAAAGCGUGGGGAGCGAACAGGAUUAGAUACCCUGGUAGUCCACGCCGUAAACGAU
Molecule: ribosomal RNA, 671 nt
Filed under: uncultured bacterium
Lineage: Bacteria
Description: bacterial SSU rRNA
Rfam family: Bacterial small subunit ribosomal RNA
Source: RNAcentral